This 254-nucleotide ribosomal RNA is filed under the name uncultured bacterium. RNAcentral's name for it is "partial 16S ribosomal RNA". It matches the Rfam family "Bacterial small subunit ribosomal RNA", at positions 524 to 776 of the family's 1533-position model. The record is from RNAcentral.
UACGUAGGGUGCAAGCGUUGUCCGGAAUUAUUGGGCGUAAAGAGCUCGUAGGCGGUUUGUCGCGUCUGCUGUGAAAACUCGGGGCUUAACCCCGGGCCUGCAGCCGAUACGGGCAAGCUAGAAUUCGGUAGGGGAGACUGGAAUUCCUGGUGUAGCGGUGAAAAUGCGCAGAUAUCAGGAGGAACACCGGUGGCGAAGGCGGGUCUCUGGGCCGAUAUUGACGCUGAGGAGCGAAAGCGUGGGGAGCAAACAGG